AGAUACUGCUAUAAUGCAGUCGUACGCACUGGCCCAACUGAUUGAUGGUGCUUGCACCUGAUUGACGAUGGAUCACCAGUGAGUGGCGGACGGGUGAGUAACACGUAGGUAACCUGCCCCGGAGCGGGGGAUAACAUUUGGAAACAGAUGCUAAUACCGCAUAACAACAAAAGCCACAUGGCUUUUGCUUGAAAGAUGGCUUUGGCUAUCACUCUGGGAUGGACCUGCGGUGCAUUAGCUAGUUGGUAAGGUAACGGCUUACCAAGGCGAUGAUGCAUAGCCGAGUUGAGAGACUGAUCGGCCACAAUGGAACUGAGACACGGUCCAUACUCCUACGGGAGGCAGCAGUAGGGAAUCUUCCACAAUGGGCGCAAGCCUGAUGGAGCAACACCGCGUGAGUGAAGAAGGGUUUCGGCUCGUAAAGCUCUGUUGUUGGAGAAGAACGUGCGUGAGAGUAACUGUUCACGCAGUGACGGUAUCCAACCAGAAAGUCACGGCUAACUACGUGCCAGCAGCCGCGGUAAUACGUAGGUGGCAAGCGUUAUCCGGAUUUAUUGGGCGUAAAGCGAGCGCAGGCGGUUGCUUAGGUCUGAUGUGAAAGCCUUCGGCUUAACCGAAGAAGUGCAUCGGAAACCGGGCGACUUGAGUGCAGAAGAGGACAGUGGAACUCCAUGUGUAGCGGUGGAAUGCGUAGAUAUAUGGAAGAACACCAGUGGCGAAGGCGGCUGUCUGGUCUGCAACUGACGCUGAGGCUCGAAAGCAUGGGUAGCGAACAGGAUUAGAUACCCUGGUAGUCCAUGCCGUAAACGAUGAGUGCUAGGUGUUGGAGGGUUUCCGCCCUUCAGUGCCGGAGCUAACGCAUUAAGCACUCCGCCCUGGGGAGUACGACCGCAAGGGUUGAAACUCAAAGGAAUUUGACGGGGGCCCGCACAAGCGGUGGAGCAUGUGGGUUUAAUUCGAAGCUACGCGAGACCUUUACCAGGUCUUGACAUCUUGCGCUACCUUAGAGAUAUCGUCCGUUCGGGGACGCAUGACAGUUGUUGCAUGCUCGUCGGUCAGCUCGAUGUCGUGAGAUGCUGGCUAGUCCCGCAACCGAGCGCAAGCUGUUACUAGUGCCAGGCCAUUCGCUUGACACCUCUUA
RNAcentral lists this ribosomal RNA (1141 nucleotides) under Limosilactobacillus reuteri. RNAcentral's name for it is "bacterial SSU rRNA". It matches the Rfam family "Bacterial small subunit ribosomal RNA", at positions 1 to 1155 of the family's 1533-position model. The record is from RNAcentral. Lineage: Bacteria; Bacillati; Bacillota; Bacilli; Lactobacillales; Lactobacillaceae.